RNAcentral lists this transfer RNA (87 nucleotides) under Clostridia bacterium. Its description in RNAcentral is "tRNA-Leu". It matches the Rfam family "tRNA". From Rfam's summary of the family: Transfer RNA (tRNA) molecules are approximately 80 nucleotides in length. The record is from RNAcentral. Lineage: Bacteria; Bacillati; Bacillota; Clostridia.
GCGGCUAUGGCGGAAUCGGCAGACGCGCAUGCUUCAGGUGCAUGUGGGAGAAAUCUCGUGGAAGUUCAAGUCUUCUUAGCCGCACCA